CAGGGUUUGGCAGGAACCGCACACCAC
RNAcentral lists this unclassified non-coding RNA (27 nucleotides) under Mus musculus (house mouse). Its description in RNAcentral is "oocyte_clustered_small_RNA10659". Lineage: Eukaryota; Metazoa; Chordata; Mammalia; Rodentia; Muridae. The record is from RNAcentral.